GGGUGCUAUCAAAAGAGAGCCUAAUGGAACUCCUUCUUUAGAAAACCCUUCUGAUGCGGUAGUUACCUUAAUCUUAAAUAUCUUUUAUCAUUUUAUCGGAGACUGUGUAGACAUAUAUAAAAAAAAUUAGGAAACAAUUGAUCAAUUUUAAGAGUAAAACUAUGUCUGAUUUUAGAUGGUACAAACAUAUUUUUCUAAACUUUAUCAACUUUCUGACCCA
Molecule: long non-coding RNA, 220 nt
Filed under: Elaeis guineensis (African oil palm)
Lineage: Eukaryota; Viridiplantae; Streptophyta; Magnoliopsida; Arecales; Arecaceae
Description: long non-coding RNA (EGUI_LNC064114)
Source: RNAcentral